AUUGAACGCUGGCGGCAGGCCUAACACAUGCAAGUCGAACGGUAACAGGAAGAAGCUUGCUUCUUUGCUGACGAGUGGCGGACGGGUGAGUAAUGUCUGGGAAACUGCCUGAUGGAGGGGGAUAACUACUGGAAACGGUAGCUAAUACCGCAUAACGUCGCAAGACCAAAGAGGGGGACCUUCGGGCCUCUUGCCAUCGGAUGUGCCCAGAUGGGAUUAGCUUGUUGGUGGGGUAACGGCUCACCAAGGCGACGAUCCCUCGCUGGUCUGAGGGGAGUACCAGCCACACUGGAACUGAGACACGGUCCAGACUCCUACGGGAGGCAGCAGUGGGGAAUAUUGCACAAUGGGCGCAAGCCUGAUGCAGCCAUGCCGCGUGUAUGAAGAAGGCCUUCGGGUUGUAAAGUACUUUCAGCGGGGAGGAAGGGAGUAAAGUUAAUACCUUUGCUCAUUGACGUUACCCGCAGAAGAAGCGCCGGCUAACUCCGUGCCAGCAGCCGCCGUAA
This 506-nucleotide ribosomal RNA is filed under the name uncultured bacterium. Its description in RNAcentral is "partial 16S ribosomal RNA". It matches the Rfam family "Bacterial small subunit ribosomal RNA", at positions 30 to 523 of the family's 1533-position model. The record is from RNAcentral.